This 85-nucleotide transfer RNA is filed under the name Felis catus (domestic cat). It matches the Rfam family "tRNA". Rfam says of the family: Transfer RNA (tRNA) molecules are approximately 80 nucleotides in length. Their secondary structure includes four short double-helical elements and three loops (D, anti-codon, and T loops). Further hydrogen bonds mediate the characteristic L-shaped molecular structure. tRNAs have two regions of fundamental functional importance: the anti-codon, which is responsible for specific mRNA codon recognition, and the 3' end, to which the tRNAs corresponding amino acid is attached (by aminoacyl-tRNA synthetases). tRNAs cope with the degeneracy of the genetic code in two manners: having more than one tRNA (with a specific anti-codon) for a particular amino acid; and 'wobble' base-pairing, i.e. permitting non-standard base-pairing at the 3rd anti-codon position. The record is from Rfam by way of RNAcentral. Lineage: Eukaryota; Metazoa; Chordata; Mammalia; Carnivora; Felidae.
GCCUGAGUGGCUUAGUCGGUUAAGUGUCUGACUCCAACUCAGGUCCUGAUCUCACGGUUUGUGGGUUCGAGCCCUGUGUCAGGCU